This is a non-coding RNA of Paramuricea clavata, 427 nucleotides long. The record is from the annotation of a GenBank genome assembly. NCBI's taxonomy places the organism in Eukaryota, Metazoa, Cnidaria, Anthozoa, Malacalcyonacea, Plexauridae.
GUUCGGUAUGAGAAAUUUCCGGUAUCGGUAUACCGAAAAAAUUAUACCGAUAUUAUCGGUAUACCGGUUUUCCUUUGAUAAUUAUAAAGGAAAAUUCUUUAAUGGAAGUUUGAAGGAAAUUUUGAGUAAUUCUAAAAGGGAAAACGAUAAAUUCGAAGCUGUUUCGAACAUGUUUCGAACGACAUGCACGUACUCAGUGUAAAAUCUCACUGAAGUGGAAAUUCUAAAUCAUUGCAGUAGAAAGUUCUUUGAAUUGCCAUUCAUUAGUAAAAUAAAGGUUAUGGUUUCGCCAUAUAGUUGGUAAAUUUAACACGGUAUACCGAAAAAUUCCGGUAUGUCCGAAAUUUCGGUAUAUCGGUAUGGUUGAAUAUCCAGUGUCGAUAUACCGAUAUUGAUUUAAUACCGAUAUUUUCGGUAUAUCGGUAUA